GCGGCUGCCCCCAUCCAAGGAAGGCAGCAGGCGCGCAAAAUUACCCAAUCCUGACACAGGAGGUAGUGACAAUAAAUAACAAUGCCGGGCCUUUUCAGGUCUGGCUAUUGGAAUGAGUGCAAUUUAAAAACCUCAACGAGGAUCCAUUGGAGGGCAAGUCUGGUGCCAGCAGCCGCGGUAAUUCCAGCUCCAAUAGCGUAUAUUUAAGUUGUUGCAGUUAAAAAGCUCGUAGUUGGAUUUCGGCUUUGGGCGACCGGUCCGCCGUUUCGGUGUGCACUGGUCGGCCUUUGCUUUCUGUCGGGGACGCGCUCUCCUUAAUUGGUGACGCGGAGUCGGCGCUGUUACUUUGAAAAAAUUAGAGUGUUCAAGGCAGGCUUACGCUCUGAAUACUAUAGCAUGGAAUAACACGAUAGGACUCCGAGCCUAUUUUGUUGGUCUUCGGGACCGGAGUAAUGAUUAAGAGGGACAGUUGGGGGCAUUCGUAUUCCGAUGUCAGAGGUGAAAUUUCUUGGAUUUUCGGAAGACGAACUUCUGCGAAAGCAUUUGCCAAGGAUUUUUC
Molecule: ribosomal RNA, 559 nt
Filed under: Thraustochytriidae sp. SW6
Lineage: Eukaryota; Bigyra; Thraustochytrida; Thraustochytriidae
Description: SSU rRNA
Rfam family: Eukaryotic small subunit ribosomal RNA
Source: RNAcentral